AUUAUUGGGUGAUGAUGUAUACGAUCGUACGCCGAGCGUUUGUGAAAUCGCUAAUUCGUGUAGAUGUGCGCACGUUUUACAUUCGUAAUUGAAACGUGUUUUUUGUUUGUUUAUUUUAAUUUUUUUUUUUUUCCGUGAUAUCAUUAACACUGACAAUAAAAAAUAGACUUGCGGUUAAAUUCCCCGUGUACAUUAUAAUAAUAUAAUACAUAAUGUAUUUGAGAAAAAAAAAAAACCCACCUAAGAAACAUUGCGAGUGAGUGUAUGAGCGUGUUCGUGUAAUUUUUCAUUUAAGAAUAUUGUAACAAGAGCGUCGACAAAGUGGUCUCGCUUAAACGGAAAACAACGAUAGUGUAAAAUCGAUGACAAUGGCGAUUUUCGAUAAACAA
This is a non-coding RNA of Cinara cedri, 389 nucleotides long. The record is from the annotation of a GenBank genome assembly. NCBI's taxonomy places the organism in Eukaryota, Metazoa, Arthropoda, Insecta, Hemiptera, Aphididae.